GACGAACGCUGGCGGCGUGCCUAAUACAUGCAAGUAGAACGCUGAAGGAGGAGCUUGCUUCUCUGGAUGAGUUGCGAACGGGUGAGUAACGCGUAGGUAACCUGCCUUGUAGCGGGGGAUAACUAUUGGAAACGAUAGCUAAUACCGCAUAAUAGCAGUUGUUGCAUGACAACUGUUUGAAAGGUGCAAUUGCACCACUACCAGACGGAGCUGCGUUGUAUUAGCUAGUUGGUGGGGUAACGGCUCACCAAGGCGACGAUACAUAGCCGACCUGAGAGGGGGAUCGGCCGCACUGGGACGGUGACACGGCCCAGACGCCUACGGGAGGCAGCAGUAGGGAAUCUUCGGCAAGGGACGGAAGUCUGACCGAGCAACGCCGCGGGAGUGAAGAAGGUUGUCGGAUCGUAAAGCUCUGUUGUAAGAGAAGAACGAGUGUGAGAGUGGAAAGUUCACACUGUGACGGUAGCUUACCAGAAAGGGACGGCUAACUACGUG
Molecule: ribosomal RNA, 495 nt
Filed under: uncultured bacterium
Lineage: Bacteria
Description: partial 16S ribosomal RNA
Rfam family: Bacterial small subunit ribosomal RNA
Source: RNAcentral